UGAGGUGUGCGGCUUCAAGAGCGCACACCGAAGGCGUUGCAAGGGAUCCAGAGGGGCAGGAGGCGUCUUAAAGUCCUUCCCCUCUUGCCAAACAACGCCUUUGGCUGUUGCUUUUUUAUUUUAUUCUGUUUUACAAAAGAGGGAAACAGUGACCUGAGGAUUCUGCUUUCUGCCUUGUAUUAGGGAGCCACAGUACGCUGCUUUUCUUGUAUUUCAUUUUUUGAUAAGACUUGCUAUGAGAAGGAUGGAAAUAUGACAGCUUUUGAUUUCUUUUAAAAAUAUUUGCUUUUUUUUUUUAAUUACAAAAGUAGAGUAUGUGAUCAUAUAACACACUGGCGUUCAGUUCAUCCUUCCUGCAAAAGAAGGCCAUUGUACUUCCUGACCUGAAAGCAAGGAAACGUCUGCUGCCACGUUAGUGAUGUGAUAAUGGCCUUCACAUAUCACCUGGACAUUAAUGGAAUGAAAUCACUUACUGCUUCUGAAAACAGCUUUGUUCUCAGCUGGCGUCUUCAAGGCACCGUAUGAGCACAGUGGACUUUCUCAGAGGAAGCAACAAAACCAUCAGGAUAUACAACGGCAUGACUCUACUGCAGUGACACAGGCAGCAGGGUACUGGUGUGCAGUACCAGAGCCACACAGGAGAACAGGUUUGGGUCCCUGGUCCACCUGGAUAUUAUGCCCAACACACCUGUGAGCCUGGCUGGCUAGUGUAUUGGUGUGAGGACACAGUGUGGCAAGACCCUACUGAGGCUACCUCUCUUUCUCCCUUCUCAUGAAAUAAACAAACAAACCAAAGGAUAUACAACAAUAAUGGUAAGAUAUAUAGCUAACAUUAUAUAUACAUCAGAAAAUAGAGACCACCUUGGCAAACUCUGAAAGAAACCACCCAAAUUACUUAGACUUUAUGGUGCUAUUUCACUGGAAUUCUUUCAUUUCCUUU
This is a long non-coding RNA of Tupaia belangeri chinensis (Chinese tree shrew), 940 nucleotides long. RefSeq lists it as uncharacterized. Lineage: Eukaryota; Metazoa; Chordata; Mammalia; Scandentia; Tupaiidae. The record is from RefSeq and is a predicted model, not a curated record. The transcript has 3 exons.